GUUUGAAUUAGAAGAUUGGUUGUAAUAACUAAUAACUUGAACAAAAAAUAGUUUGGGCCUUUAUGAAGAACACCUCCCUUGGAAAUGCGAUGAAGAAAAUCAGAAAUUAAUACAUAUUUGGCGCCUAUUGAAUUCAAUUCCCCAAUCAUCUUCACUGAAUUUGGGUUUCAACCAUUUUUCCCGAUCACCUCUCGCCAACACUUCAAUUUCAAUUCUCAUAUAAACCCUAAUCAAUCCGUUGAAACAGAAGCCGUUUCCUACUGAGUCAUUACAAUGUCGAACUCCCUUCAACUUCUUCAUGACCUCUGUAUUCAGUUUUCAGAACCAAUCAUCAAAUCCCUUUCGAAUAUCUGCGAUAAGCCUUCAGAGGGGUCGAAUGUCUCUGUUAAACCCAUUCUUGAAUCCCUUCUACCUCGAAAAACAUCACUUCGAAUCAGUCCUUCUGAGGACGAUAUUUACUCCUCCAUCAAAGACUUCACACUGGCAUGUGCUUUAAUAUUGUCUUCCCGUUCCUCGACCUUUGACCUUCUUUCAUGGAUUACGGAAGACCUCGCACUCACUGCCGAGUCAGCUUUUCGAAUGCUCUCAAAGGCCUAUGCCUCUGCUUCCUGCCACGGGUUUUCAAAGAACAUUGAGGAGCUGGGUUUAGAUUUUAGUUUGAUACCGGAGGAGAAAAGAUUGGUGGUGGAAAUCAUUCCUAAGGUUCUUCCGUUGUUGAAGGAUAGUAUUAAGGAGAGCUCGAUAGAUAAAUCUGACGAGGUCGACGAGGUCUCUGCUGCAUCAGCGAGGGUGCCUGUGGGGUUUGCUAUUGUUGCGGCCCAUCAACUUGGAUGGUUCAUUACUCAGAUUGAUUAUCCACAUUUGGGGAAGUUGUGUAAUUUGGUGAUUCCUUGUGGACUGACUGCUCUUGAUCACUGGUCACCGGAAGUCAAAGGGCAGGGCAUGCUUAGUUUUAUACAUCUUGCAAAAAAUGUCAAUGCUGCAGAGCUUGGUUGGUAUGAAGAUGUGAUUCUUGAUGCAUGCUGCUCAAAUGUCCCAUCAAGUGAUGAAAUAUGGCCUUAUGUGGUUGAAAUGUCGGUUCUUCUUGCAACUAGCGUUCACAAUAUGAAUCCUCGUAGCUCAUGGAUUGAAAGGAUGGUUAAUGAGAUGUUGGGUCACUUGGAGCGGCAGCCAAGAAACAAGGAACGUCGCAUUGCAUGGCUUCGACACAUUGAGCCUCUUUUCCAUUGUAUGGGAUUGGUGCUAUUGGCUCAUACAAGGCGCAUAUUUCCACUUUUCUUCCAGUGGAUGAAUGCUGAAGAUGAUGAGACCACUUUACUAGUAAGUGAUAUAGAUUUGUCAUUUGAAAUAUACAGGAUGAUAUUGUAUGGUGAAUAAUACUUCCUGAUAGCACCUACCAAUGGGCAUUAUAUAUUUGACAACUAGAAGAGAAUAAUGGAAAAUAGGAGGAAUGAGAGAUGGGAGAUUCUCUUCUUUUUUCUCGAAGCAAUAAAUUACUGUUAAAUUGUAAUGGUGUUUAGUAGGUAGAUUAAAUAUUAUUCAUACUAUAUCUAUUCUCUGAAUUCUUAAGAUAUUAACUUAAGACGCUUCUACUUCUGGUUAGUAAGAAAACGUUCUUCUUUGAGAAUAUAUCAGAGGCUUUUAAAAGUUAACUUUCUUGCGUCAAAUUCUAUUGAAAAAUUUCUUGCUUCAGUUUCCUGAUUUGCAGUCUAUCUGUUAAAGCAUCGAAGAAUUUUCUCCCCUUUUUUCUUAAAAGAUAAAAUUCUUACUUUAUCCUGCACUGGAAGAGCAAGGGCAGGGACCUUAAAUUUCCUACCAAUGUUUUCUUCUGCGAAGGAAAGAGCAAUCCAAUUUGUCCUUCUACCUUUUACAGGUUCUACAGAGAAUACAAACAGUUGUGAGGUUAACAUGGAUAAGGAAUACACCAUAUGUUGAAAGAUUGGUGGAUGAACUUGCAAUGUUAUACGAAAAGGCCGCAACAAGAAGUUCUGGUGAUGCAAUCAGAAAGCAUAUUGUUGAU
This is an RNA transcript of Cucumis melo (muskmelon), 2020 nucleotides long. RefSeq lists it as uncharacterized. Lineage: Eukaryota; Viridiplantae; Streptophyta; Magnoliopsida; Cucurbitales; Cucurbitaceae. The transcript is spliced from 7 exons. The record is from RefSeq and is a predicted model, not a curated record.